AAAUGUCUUAACCACUCAAGAAAGGAGCUAAUGGAACCGAGACAUCCAGCGCCUCACUUGGUGAAGUGCUUGUUGAAUGAAUGAGCAGAUGUUGCCACCGAAGAUUUAACAAAGAGUGACUACUAAAUCCAGACAGUGUCACAUGCAGCAUCUCUUCCCCACCCUGGCAGUCACCUUGUUAAUAACUUGGUGCCAUUGAGAACUACCUGACUGCCUAGAUCCUUCUUGGGACUACCUUAAAAAAAAAGAGAGAGAGAAGGAGCGCCAGGAGGAGAAGCCCUGCAAAGUGCAGCUGGACACCUCCACGCCUGACCGAGAAAUACUGGGGAUAGUGAUGCUCAUGGAGACGCUCGAAUCCGACACUGGAAUUGCAAACUAGGAAGUUUGUUGGCUUGGCACUGCUGUUCUCAGUCCACCAUUUAAAAAUGCUCUGAGCCCAACAUCUAGAAAUCUCACUAACGACCCUCUGGACUCAAAAAAUGAGGUUACAGUUUGUUUCCCCUUCAUUUCCUAUAGAAAUGUCCCUCAUCAGGUGCCUGACUGCUGACACCAUAUAAAGGCUGGACUUAAGCAGGCUCCCGCUCCUGCCUGCAGCACAGCUUCCUAAAAUGAAACACAGCUGUUUCACCGAGUGACUCCUUCCUGGGUCUGAGAGACUGAUUCAUUAAGACAUGGGCAGGAGACUUAGGUUUGUUCUUUUCCCCUUCUUCCAUUUAGGCUUUUCUCUGCCUCUGCAGAUCUCUUAUUUUGCUACUUCUCAUUCCAGUCUCUUUGCACAGCUGCCAACUCAACUUUUAAUAUAUGAUACUUACGUUUCAAAUGGGAAAGUGAGGGAUUUAGGGUAUUCUACCCCAAAAUAUGCCAGACUGGCAUGAGGAUUAUUUUGAAUUGAAGGCAGUUAAGAAGGAACAGACACAAGAAAAGCUCUCUGUCCUCCCCUUCUUUACCAGGAAGGACAGAACGAUUCUUAAUCACCAGAGACAACUCUACACUCUUAGCCGGGAGACACCACCAGAGAAAUCGACACAAUGCACUUUGCUAAGAACUGUAUUUUCCAUUUGUUUUCCCCAUAUUCUUACCUUUCCACAAUUUGCCACUCCUAGAAGCUCAGAGUACUUCUCCUUUGUCUUGUCACUUCUCUACGAAUUUAAUGUUCUUUUGUGAUGCUGUGUCCGUACCCUCUUAAAUCUGAGGUUCUGAGACUGACGUACCCAUAGGCUAGAAUGAAUGUGACACUGGGCCAGGUUCCAGGCCCAGGAUUCGAGACACUGGUCUGAUUCUGGGGGCACUCGCCCUGGGAAUUCAGCCUCUGGGUUGUGAAGUCCAGAAAGCCCUGUGGAGUGAGCAGUCCUUGUGA
Long non-coding RNA from Bos taurus (domestic cattle), 1357 nucleotides. NCBI's taxonomy places the organism in Eukaryota, Metazoa, Chordata, Mammalia, Artiodactyla, Bovidae. The record is from Ensembl.